Molecule: ribosomal RNA, 303 nt
Filed under: uncultured bacterium
Lineage: Bacteria
Description: partial 16S ribosomal RNA
Rfam family: Bacterial small subunit ribosomal RNA
Source: RNAcentral
AGCAGUAGCCGCGGGAAUACGUAGGUGGCAAGCGUUGUCCGGAAUUAUUGGGCGUAAAGGGCUCGCAGGCGGUUUCUUAAGUCUGAUGUGAAAGCCCCCGGCUCAACCGGGGAGGGUCAUUGGAAACUGGGAAACUUGAGUGCAGAAGAGGAGAGUGGAAUUCCACGUGUAGCGGUGAAAUGCGUAGAGAUGUGGAGGAACACCAGUGGCGAAGGCGACUCUCUGGUCUGUAACUGACGCUGAGGAGCGAAAGCGUAGGGAGCGAACAGGAUUAGAUACCCCCGUAGUCCCUGUCUCUUAUAC